RNAcentral lists this ribosomal RNA (429 nucleotides) under Chloroflexota bacterium. RNAcentral describes it as "Chloroflexi bacterium partial 16S ribosomal RNA". It matches the Rfam family "Bacterial small subunit ribosomal RNA", at positions 355 to 776 of the family's 1533-position model. Lineage: Bacteria; Bacillati; Chloroflexota. The record is from RNAcentral.
UGGGGAAUAUUGCACAAUGGGCGCAAGCCUGAUGCAGCCAUGCCGCGUGUGUGAAGAAGGCCUUCGGGUUGUAAAGCACUUUCAGCGGGGAGGAAGGCGAUAAGGUUAAUAACCUUGUCGAUUGACGUUACCCGCAGAAGAAGCACCGGCUAACUCCGUGCCAGCAGCCGCGGUAAUACGGAGGGUGCAAGCGUUAAUCGGAAUUACUGGGCGUAAAGCGCACGCAGGCGGUCUGUCAAGUCGGAUGUGAAAUCCCCGGGCUUAACCUGGGAACUGCAUUCGAAACUGGCAGGCUAGAGUCUUGUAGAGGGGGGUAGAAUUCCAUGUGUAGCGGUGAAAUGCGUAGAGAUGUGGAGGAAUACCGGUGGCGAAGGCGGCCCCCUGGACAAAGACUGACGCUCAGGUGCGAAAGCGUGGGGAGCAAACAGG